UACGUAUGGGGCGAGCGUUGUUCGGAUUUAUUGGGCGUAAAGGGCGUGUAGGCGGCACAUCAAGUCUGGUGUGAGACCGCAAGGCCUAACCUUGCGUAUGCGCUGGAAACUGGUGGGCUUGAGUUCUUGAGGGGAAGCUGGAAUUCCAGGUGUAGGGGUGAAAUCUGUAGAUAUCUGGAAGAACACCGGUGGCGAAGGCGAGCUUCUAUCAGAGGACUGACGCUGAGGCGCGAAAGCGUGGGGAG
Molecule: ribosomal RNA, 245 nt
Filed under: uncultured bacterium
Lineage: Bacteria
Description: partial 16S ribosomal RNA
Rfam family: Bacterial small subunit ribosomal RNA
Source: RNAcentral